GUGUCCUCGACGGCGAGGAGGUACAGAUCGACAUUCUGGACACGGCCGGCCAGGAGGACUAUGCAGCCAUUCGCGACAACUAUUUCCGCAGCGGUGAAGGGUUCCUGUGCGUGUUUUCCAUCACCGAGGACGACAGCUUUCAGGCGACACAGGAGUUUCGAAACGACGAAAAUAUCCCGUUUCUGCUCGUCGGGAACAAGUGCGACCUGAACGACAAACGGAAGGUGCCGCUGGCCGAGUGCCAAGGCCCGUGCGCAGCAGUGGGGAGUGCCAUACGUCGAACCGUCGGCGAAGACGCGCGAAAACGUCGAUAAGAUUUUCUACGACCUGAUUCGGGACAUUUCCAAUCGCAAGAAGAAAAGCCAGGAAACGGUACAGCAACCGAAGCGGGAGAAACACCACUGUUGCCAGUUGCUAUAGAAACCGGCGUGGAGAAUCGAGGCAACUGGGAUUCAGUCCUGAAAGCAUUCUCUGUGCGCGGAUAAGUCGGAUAUUGCACCGUUGCACCUUAAUCAUCAUCAUAGCCGUAACAUACAUAUUUUUAGUUUACUCGUCGUUGUCGUGUAAGCAUUAAGGCGAAUCAAGAAACAUUGAAUUUGACGUUUAUAAUUUUACAUUGCUGUACAAAAUUUAUGGAAAAAUAUAGCUUUGCAUGCUUUAAUUUUAGUUUUCACGCAUUCGGAUCGUUUACGAAUCAGUUGAAAAAGAACAAAUCAAAUAGAUGCACAUUCAUAAACAGAGGUAUCACAACAAUUCAGCAUCAUCAACAACAAACCAAACCUUAUACUUAAGGGCAAAUGAAACGAAUAAAAUACCUGGUACAUUUUUCAAACCAUCAAGGAUAUUAUCAAAAUCAACGCUGUGUUAAAAAAAGCGUCGAUCCAGCCGAAAAGAUGGAAUAGUGUAUGGAAGGCGUUUUCUUUUGGUUCGUUUGCUAUGAAAAUGAUAUAAUGAAAAAGAAACAAUCUCUUACAAAAUAGUCACUGAAAAUCAAUAAAGACAGCAUUGAAUUGAG
RNA transcript from Aedes aegypti (yellow fever mosquito), 1015 nucleotides. It is a transcript of the gene named ras-related protein Ral-a-like, with no coding region annotated. The transcript has 3 exons. The record is from RefSeq and is a predicted model, not a curated record. Lineage: Eukaryota; Metazoa; Arthropoda; Insecta; Diptera; Culicidae.